CGGACAGUUCUCAGGGCAGUGAAAUGUCCACUCCUUGCCCUCAAACUGCAAGCACAGCACCUCGGUGUGGAGAUCUGUCGACACCUAGAUCUCGACAUGCAGCAGGAGGUUGUCCCAUGGAUGGCUAUCGCUCUAGGUCCAGAGGUAGGUCCAGCAGAGGAUACAGACACAGGUCCAGAUCACG
Molecule: long non-coding RNA, 184 nt
Organism: Polypterus senegalus (gray bichir)
Lineage: Eukaryota; Metazoa; Chordata; Cladistia; Polypteriformes; Polypteridae
Exons: 4
Source: RefSeq, a predicted model, not a curated record